Molecule: ribosomal RNA, 499 nt
Filed under: uncultured bacterium
Lineage: Bacteria
Description: partial 16S ribosomal RNA
Rfam family: Bacterial small subunit ribosomal RNA
Source: RNAcentral
GACGAACGCUGGCGGCGUGCCUAAUACAUGCAAGUCGAGCGAGGUUUUUCUGGUGCUUGCACCGGAAAAACUUAGCGGCGAACGGGUGAGUAACACGUAAAGAACCUGCCUCAUAGACUGGGACAACUAUUGGAAACGAUAGCUAAUACCGGAUAACAGCAUUAACUGCAUGGUUGAUGUUUGAAAGUUGGUUUUGCUAACACUAUGAGAUGGCUUUGCGGUGCAUUAGCUAGUUGGUGGGGUAAAGGCCUACCAAGGCGACGAUGCAUAGCCGACCUGAGAGGGUGAUCGGCCACACUGGGACUGAGACACGGCCCAGACUCCUACGGGAGGCAGCAGUAGGGAAUCUUCCGCAAUGGGCGAAAGCCUGACGGAGCAACGCCGCGUGAGUGAAGAAGGAUUUCGGUUCGUAAAGCUCUGUUGUUAGGGAAGAAUGAUUAUGUAGUAACUAUACAUAGUAGAGACGGUACCUAACCAGAAAGCCACGGCUAACUACGUG